This 565-nucleotide ribosomal RNA is filed under the name Trichoderma pleuroticola. RNAcentral's name for it is "LSU rRNA". It matches the Rfam family "Eukaryotic large subunit ribosomal RNA", at positions 34 to 623 of the family's 3401-position model. The record is from RNAcentral. Lineage: Eukaryota; Fungi; Ascomycota; Sordariomycetes; Hypocreales; Hypocreaceae.
UUAAGCAUAUCAAUAAGCGGAGGAAAAGAAACCAACAGGGAUUGCCCCAGUAACGGCGAGUGAAGCGGCAACAGCUCAAAUUUGAAAUCUGGCCCCUAGGGUCCGAGUUGUAAUUUGUAGAGGAUGCUUUUGGUGAGGUGCCGCCCGAGUUCCCUGGAACGGGACGCCACAGAGGGUGAGAGCCCCGUCUGGCUGGCCGCCGAGCCUCUGUAAAGCUCCUUCGACGAGUCGAGUAGUUUGGGAAUGCUGCUCAAAAUGGGAGGUAUAUGUCUUCUAAAGCUAAAUAUUGGCCAGAGACCGAUAGCGCACAAGUAGAGUGAUCGAAAGAUGAAAAGCACCUUGAAAAGAGGGUUAAAUAGUACGUGAAAUUGUUGAAAGGGAAGCGCUUGUGACCAGACUUGGGCGCGGCGGAUCAUCCGGGGUUCUCUCCGGUGCACUUCGCCGCGUCUAGGCCAGCAUCAGUUCGUCGCGGGGGAAAAAGGCUUCGGGAACGUGGCUCCUCCGGGAGUGUUAUAGCCCGUUGCAUAAUACCCUGCGGKGACUGAGGACCGCGCAUCUGCAAGGA